This 441-nucleotide ribosomal RNA is filed under the name uncultured bacterium. RNAcentral's name for it is "partial 16S ribosomal RNA". It matches the Rfam family "Bacterial small subunit ribosomal RNA", at positions 338 to 795 of the family's 1533-position model. The record is from RNAcentral.
CCUACGGGAGGCCGCAGUAGGGAAUUUUGCGCACUGGGCGCAAGCCUGACGCAGCAACGCCGCGUGUUUGAUUAAGCCCUUCGGGGUGUACAGUUCUGUCAGUGGGGACGAAACUUGUCGGUACCCACAAAGGAAGCACCGGCUAACUCCGUGCCAGCAGCAGCGGUAAUACGGAGGGGACACGCGUUGUUCGGAAUCAUUGGGCGUAAUGUGUUCGUAGUUGGCAUGUUAAGACAGAUGUGAAAUGCAUUGGCUCAACUUCGGUUCGGUACGUGAUACUGGUAAGCUUGAUUGCAGUAGAGGUAAAGAGAAUUCCUGGUGUAGCGGUGAAAUGCGUAGAGAUCAGGAGGAAUAUCGGUGGCGAAGGCGCUUUCCUGGACCGUGAUUGACACUGAGGAGCGAAAGCCGGGGGAGCAAAUGGGAUUAGAUACCCGGGUAGUC